GCCGCCUUGGCGUAGUGGUAGCGCGUCGCACUUGUAAAGCCUCAUGAAGGUUUUCCGCAAUGCGAAGGUCAUUCGUUCAAUCCGGGUAGGUGGCA
This is a non-coding RNA of Blastosporella zonata, 95 nucleotides long. Lineage: Eukaryota; Fungi; Basidiomycota; Agaricomycetes; Agaricales; Lyophyllaceae. The record is from the annotation of a GenBank genome assembly.